RNAcentral lists this ribosomal RNA (400 nucleotides) under uncultured bacterium. RNAcentral's name for it is "bacterial SSU rRNA". It matches the Rfam family "Bacterial small subunit ribosomal RNA", at positions 355 to 747 of the family's 1533-position model. The record is from RNAcentral.
UAGGGAAUUUUCCACAAUGGACGAAAGUCUGAUGGGGCGAUGCCGCGUGAAUGAUGAAGGUCUUCGGAUUGUAAAGUUCUGUUGUAAGGGAAGAAAAAGAAUGAUAGGAAAUGAUCAUUAAUUGACGGUACCUUACCAGAAAGCCACGGCUAACUACGUGCCAGCAGCCGCGGUAAUACGUAGGUGGCAAGCGUUAUCCGGAAUUAUUGGGCGUAAAGGGUGCGCAGGCGGUUCUAUAAGUCUUAAGGUGAAAGUUCGGGGCUCAACCCCGUGACGCCUUGGAAACUGUAGAACUAGAGUACGAGAGAGGGAAACGGAAUUCCAUGUGUAGCGGUGGAAUGCGUAGAUAUAUGGAGGAACACCAGUGGCGAAGGCGGUUUCCUGGAUCGUAACUGACGCU